GUUAAGAUAAUGGAGGCUCCCAGUGUCAUCUGGUCCCAGGCUGAUGCUUGACAGGUAAAACUGGAAUUUGCUGCCCCAAACUAUAGUAAUUCUCCGGAAUUUUUUGCUUUGCUUGUGCAGAGAAAAGGAAUACACCAAAAAGGUAGAAGCUCAAAUAUAGGAGGUGCUGCCGUACUGCUGUGGUCUGAGUGAAUAGGUGCCCCUUUAAGUUACAAAUGUCACUUGCCUACAUCCUGGACUCCUCCACAUUCUAAUGAGAGUAUUGGGACAGACAUCACAUGAGGCUUAAUCUGGAAGAACUAGAAAAAAAACAAUGCACGCAGUGUACAAGUCAUCAGGGGCCCUCGUUUAGCCAGCAGCAUCCUUUUCUGGUCUUUGGGUUUCACAAAAUAAUAGAGGAAAAAGACAUACUCUGAAGAAAUCCCAAAACAGGAAGAGAAGGAGCAGGAGGAGAGGAAGCACAACACUCACAGUGCCCAGGAAAGUGGUGAUGGUGAAGAAGUUGUUUAAAAGAGCUCAGAUAUCUCCCCUGCAAAAGCAACUGCCUGAGGAGUCUACAGCAGGUGAAUAGUUUUCAAGGUCUUUUAAUUUGGAUAAAAUGACCAAAGAGGAGGAGGAUGCUUGUGACUUUAGUACAAACGACAUGUAACAGAACCUGGUUUCUUAAUGU
Molecule: long non-coding RNA, 670 nt
Filed under: Homo sapiens (human)
Lineage: Eukaryota; Metazoa; Chordata; Mammalia; Primates; Hominidae
Description: non-protein coding lnc-ACADM-2:1
Source: RNAcentral